This 492-nucleotide ribosomal RNA is filed under the name uncultured bacterium. RNAcentral describes it as "partial 16S ribosomal RNA". It matches the Rfam family "Bacterial small subunit ribosomal RNA", at positions 29 to 507 of the family's 1533-position model. The record is from RNAcentral.
AGUGAACGCUGGCGGUAGGCCUAACACAUGCAAGUCGAACGGCAGCACAGUAAGAGCUUGCUCUUACGGGUGGCGAGUGGCGGACGGGUGAGGAAUACAUCGGAAUCUACUUUUUCGUGGGGGAUAACGUAGGGAAACUUACGCUAAUACCGCAUACGACCUACGGGUGAAAGCAGGGGAUCUUCGGACCUUGCGCGUUUGAAUGAGCCGAUGUCGGAUUAGCUAGUUGGCGGGGUAAAGGCCCACCAAGGCGACGAUCCGUAGCUGGUCUGAGAGGAUGAUCAGCCACACUGGAACUGAGACACGGUCCAGACUCCUACGGGAGGCAGCAGUGGGGCAUAUUGGACAAUGGGCGAAAGCCUGAUCCAGCAAUACCGCGUGCGUGAAGAAGGCUUUGGGGUUGUAAAGCCCUUUUGUUGGGAAAGAAAAGCAGAAGGUUAAUACCCCGCUGUUCUGACGGUACCCAAAGAAUAAGCACCGGCUAACUUCGUG